This 428-nucleotide ribosomal RNA is filed under the name uncultured bacterium. RNAcentral describes it as "bacterial SSU rRNA". It matches the Rfam family "Bacterial small subunit ribosomal RNA", at positions 355 to 775 of the family's 1533-position model. The record is from RNAcentral.
UGGGGAAUAUUGGACAAUGGGCGCAAGCCUGAUCCAGCAACGCCGCGUGGAGGACGAAGGUCUUCGGAUCGUAAACUCCUGUCAGGCGGGACGAAGGCUGCGGGGCAAACAGUCCUGCAGCUUGACGGUACUGCCAGAGGAAGCCCCGGCUAACUCCGUGCCAGCAGCCGCGGUAAUACGGAGGGGGCGAGCGUUAUUCGGAAUUAUUGGGCGUAAAGGGCGCGUAGGCGGCCCGGUAAGUCAAAGGUGAAAUCCCUCGGCUCAACUGAGGAACUGCCUUUGAAACUGUCGGGCUUGAGGCCGGGAGGGGGUAGCGGAAUUCCCAGUGUAGCGGUGAAAUGCGUAGAUAUUGGGAGGAACACCGGUGGCGAAGGCGGCUACCUGGACCGGUUCUGACGCUGAUGCGCGAAAGCGUGGGUAGCAAACAG